GACAUCUUAACUAUACAAGUAUAUACUUUGAAAGUAUAAAAAAGGGCAACCUAUUUGUCU
This 60-nucleotide transfer RNA is filed under the name Ornithodoros tholozani. RNAcentral's name for it is "tRNA-Ser". Lineage: Eukaryota; Metazoa; Arthropoda; Arachnida; Ixodida; Argasidae. The record is from RNAcentral.